UACGUAGGGUCCGAGCGUUGUCCGGAAUUACUGGGCGUAAAGCGUGCGCAGACGGUUUGGUAGGUCUUAUGCGAAAUCCGGUGGCUCAACCACCUGGACUGUAUGAGAAACCCCCUGACUUGAGGUAGGUAGAGGUACAUGGAAUUUCUGGUGUAGGAGUGACAUCCGUAGAUAUCAGAAGGAACACCAAUGGCGAAGGCAGUGUACUGGGGCCUUACCUGACGUUCA
This 228-nucleotide ribosomal RNA is filed under the name uncultured bacterium. Its description in RNAcentral is "partial 16S ribosomal RNA". It matches the Rfam family "Bacterial small subunit ribosomal RNA", at positions 524 to 749 of the family's 1533-position model. The record is from RNAcentral.